RNAcentral lists this ribosomal RNA (229 nucleotides) under uncultured bacterium. RNAcentral describes it as "partial 16S ribosomal RNA". It matches the Rfam family "Bacterial small subunit ribosomal RNA", at positions 568 to 796 of the family's 1533-position model. The record is from RNAcentral.
CAUGUAGGCGGCAUGACAAGUCUGGUGUGAAAUAUCUCGGCUCAACCGAGAAAACGCACUGGAAACUGUCAAGCUUGAGUAUCGGAGGGGAAGCUAGAAUUCCUGGUGUAGGAGUGAAAUCUGUAGAUAUCAGGAAGAAUACCGGUGGCGAAGGCGAGCUUCUGGCCAGAUACUGACGCUGAGAUGCGAAAGCGUGGGGAGCGAACAGGAUUAGAUACCCUGGUAGUCC